GCUAGUAAUCGCGCAUCAGCCACGGCGCGGUGAAUACGUUCCCGGGCCUUGUACACACCGCCCGUCAAGCCAUGGGAGCCGGGGGUACCUGAAGUGCGUAACCGCAAGGAGCGCCCUAGGGUAAAACUGGUGACUGGGGCUAAGUCGUAACAAGGUACC
This 159-nucleotide ribosomal RNA is filed under the name uncultured bacterium. Its description in RNAcentral is "partial 16S ribosomal RNA". It matches the Rfam family "Bacterial small subunit ribosomal RNA", at positions 1334 to 1500 of the family's 1533-position model. The record is from RNAcentral.